Bubalus bubalis (water buffalo) is the source of this 434-nucleotide long non-coding RNA. RefSeq lists it as uncharacterized. The record is from RefSeq and is a predicted model, not a curated record. Lineage: Eukaryota; Metazoa; Chordata; Mammalia; Artiodactyla; Bovidae. The transcript has 3 exons.
AUUUUCUUCUCCAGCAUGUCCUGAAAUCAAAGUGAACGAAGCUAAUGAAGGCUUCUCAGCAAUCCAAGAGAAACAAAGCAAAAUGUGGCAUUUUGAGACCAGAGAGUACAACUUUGUCUGAGGACAAUAAUUCUGAUAGUAAUGUUGAAGAUGUGGUUGAAACAUUUCCCAAACCAUCACCCUGGUUUGAGGGCAUCUGUCAUUCUGCCUUCCCAUUGCCUGAGCCUGUUUCAAAACUUCUCAAGUCUGUAGCAGGCCUUGGUCAUACAAAGCAGAGUAUCUCUGAGAGCCUUCCACGGAAGUAUGUGGAUCAUUUACCUGGAACUGCUGGUCAAAGAGGAAAAAAUACAUCAAUUGGACAAAUAGAAGGUAAGAACUGUAUUUUACAGGAAAAUCAUUUGACAGAACGUUGAUUGAAAAUGGGAAUGCUGAUA